RNAcentral lists this ribosomal RNA (475 nucleotides) under Bacillus sp. EF1A-B810. RNAcentral's name for it is "bacterial SSU rRNA". It matches the Rfam family "Bacterial small subunit ribosomal RNA", at positions 15 to 485 of the family's 1533-position model. The record is from RNAcentral. Lineage: Bacteria; Bacillati; Bacillota; Bacilli; Caryophanales; Bacillaceae.
GAUCUGGCUCAGGACGAACGCUGGCGGCGUGCCUAAUACAUGCAAGUCGAGCGGACGGAUGGGAGCUUGCUCCCUGAAGUCAGCGGCGGACGGGUGAGUAACACGUGGGCAACCUGCCUGUAAGACUGGGAUAACUUCGGGAAACCGGAGCUAAUACCGGAUAAUGCACAACCUCUCAUGAGGCUAUGCUGAAAGAUGGUUUCGGCUAUCACUUACAGAUGGGCCCGCGGCGCAUUAGCUAGUUGGUGAGGUAACGGCUCACCAAGGCAACGAUGCGUAGCCGACCUGAGAGGGUGAUCGGCCACACUGGGACUGAGACACGGCCCAGACUCCUACGGGAGGCAGCAGUAGGGAAUCUUCCGCAAUGGACGAAAGUCUGACGGAGCAACGCCGCGUGAGUGAUGAAGGUUUUCGGAUCGUAAAACUCUGUUGUCAGGGAAGAACAAGUGCCGGAGUAACUGCCGGCACCUGACCG